This 301-nucleotide ribosomal RNA is filed under the name uncultured bacterium. Its description in RNAcentral is "partial 16S ribosomal RNA". It matches the Rfam family "Bacterial small subunit ribosomal RNA", at positions 509 to 808 of the family's 1533-position model. The record is from RNAcentral.
CAGCAGCCGCGGUAAUACAGAGGGUGCGAGCGUUAAUCGGAUUUACUGGGCGUAAAGCGUGCGUAGGCGGCUUCUUAAGUCGGAUGUGAAAUCCCUGAGCUUAACUUAGGAAUUGCAUUCGAUACUGGGAAGCUAGAGUAUGGGAGAGGAUGGUAGAAUUCCAGGUGUAGCGGUGAAAUGCGUAGAGAUCUGGAGGAAUACCGAUGGCGAAGGCAGCCAUCUGGCCUAAUACUGACGCUGAGGUACGAAAGCAUGGGGAGCAAACAGGAUUAGAUACCCCUGUAGUCCCUGUCUCUUUACA